GGUGCUGUGCUCCCAUCCGUCCCUCAGAUCGUGCCAGAAGCCCCAGAUCCCGGCGAUAAUCAGACACAUCAACAGGAAUAGGCUGCACAUUGUAUAAAUUGGCUCGCAGACUUGCUUCGGGGCGGUUUCGUCGAGGAUGUUUGCAGGCGCUCUCGCAAGAUAAUUCGUGAACUGCAUUAGACUCCUGUAUGACAUCACACAACAGAGAAAUUUACAACUUCCUGAAUCUUCACAACGUUCCAGCAUUAAAACGGAACAUAAGAUGACGCGGAAAAGUGAGAACAGGAAGAAGAAGAGUGAUUCCCGUUCGAAGAUACAAAUCCCACUUGUUCAUACUUGGCGAGGAGCAAUCACGAGGGAAUCCGUUGUGGAAGUGUCACUUCUUCAUUUCUUCGCGCACGAAACGGACCUCGCGAGCAUCAUCACUGAUUGCAUCGUCGAGAUUGCACCGUCACGAAUUCACAUCGCACGUCGGGACGGAUCGAAGAGCGCUAGCGGACUGCGGACUGCGGUCGCGGCGCGGAUGCGUGUGCAAUUUUUUUCUGUACGCUCGCACCUGUCCAUUCAUACUCGUCAGAUCGACGAUGGAUAAUUGUUGUUGACGAUCGGACGCUCUCGGCGUGAUGCUUAUCCCUUGAAAACACACACUUGCUCGCCUGAACGAUGCAAUGGACUUCCUCAGCGUCGCGCGUACGAGGGGACGCUCUUCCUCGGGAUGGCUUGAGAGGGAAAGUCGGUCUCGGGCAGAUCCUGGUUUCGUCCGUGCAAAGUCCUCAUCAAAGACAGAAGGAGGAAACUCUUCGACACGUGGAAUCCUGGAAGCUCUCCCUCAUGUUGUGCGACGAAAUCAAUAGCAAUUUCCGUAGUUAUGCUACCUCCAGUGUGCAACGCAUUAUUAGGCAUGUAUUAGACGAGAAUGGCAAUUGAGAGCUCUUGAUGAUGACUGUUAUUGUCAAUUUAAUGUUCACGCAAACGAUAUAUCAUACAUCAUGUGACGGACGUACUCAGAAAAGUUUUUGAAACUUUCUUUCAGAAAGUUUUAGCUAGAGGAAAAUUAAGUUUUUUAAAUAUGCUUCUAACAUUGUCAUUUGUGGUCCUCUUUAUACUUUUUGAUUCUCCUAAUAUAAUAGAAAUACAAUUUUU
Molecule: long non-coding RNA, 1143 nt
Organism: Ooceraea biroi (clonal raider ant)
Lineage: Eukaryota; Metazoa; Arthropoda; Insecta; Hymenoptera; Formicidae
Source: RefSeq, a predicted model, not a curated record